RNAcentral lists this ribosomal RNA (503 nucleotides) under uncultured Methylibium sp. Its description in RNAcentral is "partial 16S ribosomal RNA". The record is from RNAcentral. Lineage: Bacteria; Pseudomonadati; Pseudomonadota; Betaproteobacteria; Burkholderiales; Sphaerotilaceae.
CACGUAGUUAGCCGGUGCUUAUUCUUCAGGUACCGUCAUUACUCCGAGGUAUUAGCCCGGAGCGUUUCUUCCCUGACAAAAGCGGUUUACAACCCGAAGGCCUUCUUCCCGCACGCGGCAUGGUUGGAUCAGGCUUGCGCCCAUUGUCCAAAAUUCCCCACUGCUGCCUCCCGUAGGAGUCUGGGCCGUGUCUCAGUCCCAGUGUGGCUGGUCGUCCUCUCAGACCAGCUACAGAUCGUCGCCUUGGUGGGCUUUUACCCCGCCAACAAGCUAAUCUGACAUCGGCCGCUCCAAUAGCGCAAGGUCUUGCGAUCCCCUGCUUUCACCCGUAGGUCGUAUGCGGUAUUAGUCCGGCUUUCGCCGGGUUAUCCCCCACUACUGGGCACGUUCCGAUGUAUUACUCACCCGUUCGCCACUCGCCACCAGGAUUGCUCCCGUGCUGCCGUUCGACUUGCAUGUGUAAGGCAUGCCGCAGCGUUCAAUCUGAGCCAGGAUCAAACUCU